GACGAACGCUGGCGGCGUGCUUAACACAUGCAAGUCGAACGGAAAGGCCCUGCUUUUGUGGGGUGCUCGAGUGGCGAACGGGUGAGUAACACGUGAGUAACCUGCCCUUGACUUUGGGAUAACUUCAGGAAACUGGGGCUAAUACCGGAUAGGAGCUCCUGCUGCAUGGUGGGGGUUGGAAAGUUUCGGCGGUUGGGGAUGGACUCGCGGCUUAUCAGCUUGUUGGUGGGGUAGUGGCUUACCAAGGCUUUGACGGGUAGCCGGCCUGAGGGGGUGACCGGCCACAUUGGGACUGAGAUACGGACCAGACUCCUACGGGAGGCAGCAGUGGGGAAUAUUGCACAAUGGGCGGAAGCCGGAUGCAGCAACGCCGCGUGCGGGAUGACGGCCUUCGGGUUGUAAACCGCUUUCGCCUGUGACGAAGCGUGAGUGACGGUAAUGGGUAAAGAAGCACCGGCUAACUACGUG
RNAcentral lists this ribosomal RNA (468 nucleotides) under uncultured bacterium. RNAcentral's name for it is "partial 16S ribosomal RNA". It matches the Rfam family "Bacterial small subunit ribosomal RNA", at positions 28 to 507 of the family's 1533-position model. The record is from RNAcentral.